Molecule: non-coding RNA, 150 nt
Organism: Caenorhabditis elegans
Lineage: Eukaryota; Metazoa; Nematoda; Chromadorea; Rhabditida; Rhabditidae
Source: Ensembl
UACCGUAUUAUUUGCAACCUCAUCGGGAAGUAUGCUCAUAAAUUGUGGUGAUAAAAGUGCAAUCUUCUUAUCACUCAUGGCUUCCGCGUCUUUUGUCUUACCCGCCGCCAUCAUUCCAAUUUUGAUGGCUGCAAAAAAAAUGAGAACAUA